Molecule: unclassified non-coding RNA, 329 nt
Filed under: soil metagenome
Description: partial contains 5.8S ribosomal RNA, internal transcribed spacer 2, and large subunit ribosomal RNA
Rfam family: 5.8S ribosomal RNA (bases 1-120)
Source: RNAcentral
GAUGAAGAACGUAGCGAAAUGCGAUAAGUAAUGUGAAUUGCAGAAUUCAGUGAAUCAUCGAAUCUUUGAACGCACAUUGCGCCCCUUGGUAUUCCGAGGGGCAUGCCUGUUCGAGCGUCAUUAUAACCCCUCAAGCUCAGCUUGGUGUUGGGGCCUGCUGCACUGGCAGCCCUUAAAAUCAGUGGCGGCGCCUUCUGGCUCUAAGCGUAGUAAUUCUUCUCGCUAUGGAGUCCUGGUGGAUGCUUGCCAUCAACCCCCAAUUUUUCUAUGGUUGACCUCGGAUCAGGUAGGGAUACCCGCUGAACCUAAGCAUAUCAAUAAGCGGAGGA